UUUUAUGGAAGCUUCGGUGGAAAUAGCUUGUUCCUAGUGGCGGACGGGUGAGUAACGCGUGGGUAACCUGCCUCACACUGGGGGAUAACAGUCAGAAAUGACUGCUAAUACCGCAUAAGCGCACGGGAUUGCAUGAUCCAGUGUGAAAAACUCCGGUGGUGUGAGAUGGACCCGCGUUGGAUUAGCCAGUUGGCAGGGUAACGGCCUACCAAAGCGACGAUCCAUAGCCGGCCUGAGAGGGUGGACGGCCACAUUGGGACUGAGACACGGCCCAGACUCCUACGGGAGGCAGCAGUGGGGAAUAUUGCACAAUGGGGGAAACCCUGAUGCAGCGACGCCGCGUGAAGGAAGAAGUAUCUCGGUAUGUAAACUUCUAUCAGCAGGGAAGAAAAUGACGGUACCUGACUAAGAAGCCCCGGCUAACUACGUGCCAGCAGCCGCGGUAAUACGUAGGGGGCAAGCGUUAUCCGGAUUUACUGGGUGUAAAGGGAGCGUAGACGGAGCAGCAAGUCUGAUGUGAAAGGCGGGGGCUCAACCCCCGGACUGCAUUGGAAACUGUUGAUCUUGAGUACCGGAGAGGUAAGCGGAAUUCCUAGUGUAGCGGUGAAAUGCGUAGAUAUUAGGAGGAACACCAGUGGCGAAGGCGGCUUACUGGACGG
Molecule: ribosomal RNA, 659 nt
Filed under: uncultured Lachnospiraceae bacterium
Lineage: Bacteria; Bacillati; Bacillota; Clostridia; Lachnospirales; Lachnospiraceae
Description: bacterial SSU rRNA
Rfam family: Bacterial small subunit ribosomal RNA
Source: RNAcentral